This 301-nucleotide ribosomal RNA is filed under the name uncultured bacterium. RNAcentral describes it as "partial 16S ribosomal RNA". It matches the Rfam family "Bacterial small subunit ribosomal RNA", at positions 509 to 807 of the family's 1533-position model. The record is from RNAcentral.
CAGCCGCCGCGGGAAUACGUAGGCAGCAAGCGUUGUUCGGAAUUACUGGGCGUAAAGAGUGUGUAGGCGGUGCUCUAAGUUCGGUGUGAAAUCUCCCGGCUCAACUGGGAGGGUGCGCCGGAAACUGGAGUGCUCGAGCGUGGGAGAGGAAAGCGGAAUUCCUGGUGUAGCGGUGAAAUGCGUAGAUAUCAGGAGGAACACCUGUGGUGUAGACGGCUUUCUGGACCAUUGCUGACGCUGAGACACGAAAGCGUGGGUAGCAAACAGGAUUAGAUACCCCGGUAGUCCCUGUCUCUUAUAC